CAUCAAUUAUGUUCUUCAUCUAAUCCAAUUAGAUUUAAUGUAUCAUAUACAUCAUAUCAAAUCUAAAACUUAUCUUAUACUGAUUAUAAAAUAUCAAUUUUAAAUUUGAUAUCAAAUAAAAAAAUAAUUAGAUGUAAAUAUGAAUGUAUAAAGAAUUAAUUUUUGAUAAAAUCUGUUUUCACGUAGUACUGAAUUAUGAUAUGAUUCAGAUCUAAAUAUCCAU
RNAcentral lists this long non-coding RNA (223 nucleotides) under Elaeis guineensis (African oil palm). RNAcentral describes it as "long non-coding RNA (EGUI_LNC050025)". The record is from RNAcentral. Lineage: Eukaryota; Viridiplantae; Streptophyta; Magnoliopsida; Arecales; Arecaceae.